RNAcentral lists this ribosomal RNA (422 nucleotides) under uncultured eukaryote. RNAcentral's name for it is "SSU rRNA". It matches the Rfam family "Eukaryotic small subunit ribosomal RNA", at positions 592 to 1018 of the family's 1831-position model. The record is from RNAcentral.
CAAUAGUGUAUAUUAAAGUUGUUGCGGUUAAAAAGCUCGUAGUUGGAUUUCUGCCAAGGCUGACCGGUCCGCCCUUUGGGUGAGUAUCUGGCUUGGCUGGAGCAUUUUCUUGGAGGGCAUGGCUGCACUUAACUGUGUGGUAUGCAACCCAAGACUUUUACUUUGAGGAAAUUAGAGUGUCUCAAGCAGGCUCGCGCCUUGAAUACAUUAGCAUGGAAUAAUAAGAUAAGGCCUUGGUUGUAUUUUGUUGGUUUCUACAGCUGAGGUAAUGAUGAACAGGGAUACUUGGGGGCAUACGAAUUUAACUGUCAGAGGUGAAAUUCUUGGAUUUGUUAAAGACGGACUACUGUGAAAGCAUUUGCCAAGAAUGUUUUCAUUGAUCAAGAAUGAAAGUUAGGGGGUCGAAGACGAUUAGAUACCAU